UGCUGCCUAUUUGAGAACUUGA
This 22-nucleotide microRNA is filed under the name Brachionus plicatilis. RNAcentral describes it as "Bpl-Mir-22-P1_3p (mature (guide))". RNAcentral also lists the same sequence under 1 other name. The record is from RNAcentral. Lineage: Eukaryota; Metazoa; Rotifera; Eurotatoria; Ploima; Brachionidae.